Long non-coding RNA from Monopterus albus (swamp eel), 1712 nucleotides. RefSeq lists it as uncharacterized. NCBI's taxonomy places the organism in Eukaryota, Metazoa, Chordata, Actinopteri, Synbranchiformes, Synbranchidae. The record is from RefSeq and is a predicted model, not a curated record. The transcript is spliced from 2 exons.
CACAUGGAUACGUGAACAUCAAGGCCGUGCAUCCCUUUCUAAAUGCUUUAUGGAGGAAAUGCAUGGCAAGAAAAAGUGUUUGCUACCCAUGUGCUACAGCUCCAUGGACUACCAAUGAGAUUGAACGAGCAUAAAUCUGCUAUAAGGAGAAAACAGUGUCCCAAGCUGAAUAGGACUGCUCACUGGUUACUGUGAAGAAUGGGACAGCUUCUGGGGGCCUACAUGGUCACAUGAUGUUUUUCUCUGUCAUGAUGCUCCACAAAAAAAUGUGAAAGACCUUGCUCAAAUAAAUAUAUUCACUGGACUUCGUACAAUUCAAACUGUAUUCUUUUAACAAAACCAGUUUAGAGUUCAACAGAUCAAACAUUUCAUGGCCAAUCAAAAAAACAGAAGCUUCCUUUUUUCCUUCAAGUCUUACAAAUGCUUGUGUUAGACCCAGUUCUUUAAUUGAAAGCGCGAGAAGUGAAGAGAAGAGGGCUGUAUAAAAUCAACAGAAAAUUUAAUCAGUCUGGUCACAAGUAAAGCCAUACAGCACUGGGUUCAGAGAAACAGAACUUCCACAGGAACACCGUUAUCAAAGAGCCCCGAACUAUCAUCUGUGGUCACAUUUAUCUUCUUGGGUGGAAACCGCCCUGUACAGAGGUUGGACUUUACACGCAUCUUAAUUCUAUUGGCCCUUGGUGUGAGCAGGCCAACCUCUGCCCCUACCAGUUUACUGAAAUGUGCUAGAAGCCAGGUGUGUGAAUGUUGUGGUGUCAGGCGGUAGCUAACAAUGAAUACUGGACAGUUGGUUGUCUAUGGCUGCAGACGCUGUCUGUCUAGGCUAUUACAGGACAAAGCAGGCCUUGCAAAAAUGCUAAAUAGGCCAAAUGAUCAUCUUCAGUUGUAGGCCCCCCAUCUCUGAAAUCUGUUACAUAACAGCAGAACUAGUGAAAUGCUAAGAGGGCCUAUGUGAAGAUGCAACACAGGCUGUCUGGUUAAUUAAGGAUGCAGACCUUAUUUCUCCACAAACUUCUAGCAGACAGCUCCUACUCAGCAGUUCUUGAUCAUUAUCAAUACAGUUAAAACAUAUAUAAGAAAGGAAAAUCAAGGUAUGAGAGUAACUAAUAUAACAUCUGAAUAUUACACUUGUUCUCUGUAAAACAUUUGAGGCUUGGUUUAGCAAUCAAAACCAUAUCUGUUGGUUUCCUACUCAACUUUAGGUUUGUAUAUACAAGACAAUAAAUUAAUGGGUAUAAAAUAAUUUGUUGUGCAUUGUCAUAAAUAAAAUCCACACUAAAAACAAGGAAUCAUGUAAAAUUAUGUUUUUACUAAACAUAAUCUAAAAAUGUCCCCUGCACAAUGAAAUGAAUCAGGGACACAGACAACUCAUUUGCUCUCAUGAGAAGGUGGGAAAAGGGAUGUGUACGAUGGAGGUUGGUCACCCUCUUGAAACUGAGGUGGACCAGUAGGGGGUUGAUGCUGCCCUGAAGAUGAUGCAUUUGAAAAACCAUAUGCGACAGUGUACUGGGGCAAUUCAUUAUCGUAGCAACUUCCUAUGGUUGCAUGUUGACUGGGAUGUGGUGCUGGGUACCCAUAACUAUCUACAGGUACAGGAUAUGCGCCACCAGGGAAGGCAGGGGGAGGGAAGUCGCUGUAACUUGGGCCCCCAGCAGCCCCACCUGGGUAAGACCCCACAGGCUGAAAGGCAGCAGAGUCACAAGGAAUGACAA